Molecule: ribosomal RNA, 468 nt
Filed under: uncultured bacterium
Lineage: Bacteria
Description: partial 16S ribosomal RNA
Rfam family: Bacterial small subunit ribosomal RNA
Source: RNAcentral
GACGAACGCUGGCGGCGUGCUUAACACAUGCAAGUCGAACGGAAAGGCCCUGCUUUUGUGGGGUGCUCGAGUGGCGAACGGGUGAGUAACACGUGAGUAACCUGCCCUUGACUUUGGGAUAACUUCAGGAAACUGGGGCUAAUACCGGAUAGGAGCUCCUGCUGCAUGGUGGGGGUUGGAAAGUUUCGGCGGUUGGGGAUGGACUCGCGGCUUAUCAGCUUGUUGGUGGGGUAGUGGCUUACCAAGGCUUUGACGGGUAGCCGGCCUGAGAGGGUGACCGGCCACAUUGGGACUGAGAUACGGCCCAGACUCCUACGGGAGGCAGCAGUGGGGAAUAUUGCACAAUGGGCGGAAGCCUGAAGCAGCAACGCCGCGGGCGGGAUGACGGCCUUCGGGUUGUAAACCGCUUUCGCCUGGGACGAAGCGUGAGUGACGGUAAUGGGUAAAGAAGCACCGGCUAACUACGUG